This is a long non-coding RNA of Alexandromys fortis (reed vole), 5227 nucleotides long. RefSeq lists it as uncharacterized. The transcript has 2 exons. The record is from RefSeq and is a predicted model, not a curated record. NCBI's taxonomy places the organism in Eukaryota, Metazoa, Chordata, Mammalia, Rodentia, Cricetidae.
UUAGUUGUCAGUAGUUAGGACAGGGCUAAGGAAGAAGGUGACUGCUUUUUGCUGUGGGCAGUACCCUUACUGCUCUGCCUUUUAGUUUUUAGCUCCUUAAGAUGGUUUGCACAGUAAUAAUGAACAAACACGUUCAAAGCUGCUUCCCACUGGGCUUGUCUGCUCGGGUCUCCACCUUUUCCCCCUGCAGCCCUUGUCCCAUCCACAGUGGAUGCAAGUUUCUGUGACAGGUCAGGGCUCCCUAUGAGGUAUGGAAUUAGGAAGUGCUUAUUUAUUCUGUGGGCUGAGGCUUGUAUAGCCGUUUCAGGGUAGACCAUCCUCACAGCCUAAGGGGAACCCCCACAACAAAACACACACAUAACCAUUUCCCCACAAUUAGCUAACCCGUCGUCCAGUGAAGUCCACAGGGGCUCCCAGAGUCUCACUGGUGUUUAUGCUGGCCUAGGGACAAUCCGACUUGUAUGGGUUCUGUAGAAGUUCUGCAUUCUUUACAUCUGUGCACGAUCCAAGUGGUGUGGCUAGGGCUAUCAGUUCCGUGGUGUGGCUGAAUGCCAGCCAGCUGAUCUCUUGGGUGAAUGGGACCCAGCCAAGAUCCUAGCUCUUAGCUCUCUAGGUGUCUGGCCCUGUCCCAAUUGACAGCCACACUGGCAUGAUUUAAGUAUAGAAGUCCAGAGGGUACUUUGCGGACUGCAGAAGACUCUUUUCUGGUCCUUUGUGUUUGGUCCAGGAUAGGCAGCUGGCAGCUGAGGGAUGAUCUCAAAACUCUAUCUGUGUGCGUAUGCACUCCAUGGUCCUUGGGAGUGACACGGUCCCUGAGAACUGUGCUCUUUCAAGUUGGGCACUGUCCACCCCACAGGGCUGUCUGCUGUGGCCUUCUGUUCGCUUUGUCUUCUAGUGGUGAAGACGAUAGUGACAGCUCACAGCCCUUCUUACUGUCCCAUCUCUGAUUCGGGGGCUCUUUCAGAUGUGUUCUCUCCAGGAUACAGAGCCCUUGAAGCUGCUAUAAACAUUGCCAGGGUGAAUCUUGGGCAUGCUGGCACUGGACUGGAUGGAGAUGUCCCCAGGUUACUGAGACCGGAAGAGAUCCAGGGCAGUGUUAGUGCAUGUCAACGUCCUGAGUUAAGUCUGCUUGUCUCUGUCCCUUCAGCUAGGUGUCAUGUUGAGGCAUGGCUGCCAUUUUCAUUUGUUCAUAAUACAAAGCUGGUUUGACCUUUCCAUUGUGGCUUGGACCAAUGCAUCUGUGCAUUUCUGUCUGCAAGCCAUGCUGGACUUUGCUUGGAGAAACCGCUAUUUCGUUUUUGCCUGUCUAGUGAUACUGACAACUCCAAUAUGGAUCUUUGAUUCUGCGUUAAUCUUUGAAAGUAAAAAAGAGGUGAGCUCCAGAGGGCAGAAUGGUUGUGGGAAACUUGGCAUGGAAGUUGGCUGAGGCAGGGAUUUAAGGAUAGCUGUUGAUGAACAAUGAACAAUUUUUAAAUAUCCCCUGAGCUGGACAGUCAGAGUAGCUGGGUUCAAAUCCCGCCUCUGCUGCUGCUCAUUUGUACCCAUGCCUAAUAUAUACCGCUCCUGUGCCUCACUUUCCUCAAAAUGGGAUAACAAUAGCAUCACCUCCUUAGGGAUUGUGCAGCAAUAAAAGGAGCCAAUAAGAACAAGGCCUUUCCAUAGAGACCUGAUGAUACCCAGUAGGUAGCCAAUGAGAACAAGGCCUUUCCAUAGUGACCUGAUGAUACCCAGUAGGUGGCAGAUCUCUUCUCUAGUUCACUGUGUUGUCGCAGUUAUCACGGGAGGGAGGGCAUCUCUCUUUGAAACUCAGAGAGGCUAAGUACCUUGCCUGAGAAACCCCCGUUGGCAACAGGUGACAAGACUAGACUCAUUCUUUCACACUUUCUUGCUGUCACACCCUAGAGAGAGCUGACCUGGACACCCUGACGGCCCUUGCGGUCCCUGUGUGCAGGGGUACAGACAGACUUGGGUGGGGAAGGAUAAGAAGGCUGUUGAGAUGCAUUCCAGAUUGCCGUCACUUCCCAGCUUCCUGUGUAACAGGCACCAGGGGACGUUUUUCACCCAGGUCUAUCUCUGAAGACCAUCUGGUGACUCACCUCCACUUCUCCUUUUUGCCUGAAGUUCUGCCUUUUGUUUCAUUGGGGCCGUUGCUCAAGUCGGGGUUAUAGCCCCAAAUGUCUGGCUUUCUGUCCUCAUGUCUGACGCCCUUGUGUCAUCUUGUUGGGAGACCCGAUGACGUGUCCGCAUGUCAUCAAAAUGGAAAGCCUGUAAAAUCUUCAGGUGGUUGUGAUUCACCUCCUGUGUGUGCUUGUCUAACGUUUUGAUCUGAGGCUUUGGGGCUUCAUCGUUUGAAACCUUUCUCCCUCCACGAACAUCUCCCCAGACCUGUCACAGCCACGCCGUGUCCCGGAGCCCAGUCUGUGGGGUUGCCAUCCAGGGCAGAGGCCUGGCUCCAGCUGAGCAGUACUCGGGACGCGGAGCUCCAGUGCAGUGUUGAAAUAUUGCUUGAGCUAAAUCGAACCAAAGGUCAGCUUUACCCAGACAGGCAUAGAAAACAAUUGCGUUCAAUUACAGAAUGCCACGGACCCCACAAUAUGAGGCUGCUUUUUAAAAAGCUUGAUUUGUGACCAUCAAACAACAGCGCUGUCCGUCUCCUGCCUUUCCCGCUUGAGAUUUGUUUACCCUGUGGGUGGUAAGGAGCAGCUCGGGCAAAGGCUUUGUGUCUCAUUGAAAACUCCGUGCUUCUAGCCCUCCUGCCCUCCUCUCUUGCAUGGAGGCACUGAAAGCCAAUGUUAAAUUGACUCUGUCUACAGACAAGGUCGUACGUGGUCGUGAUGACAUCUUGCAUUGAAAGAUUUUAAUGCAUAGUAUACAUUCACUACACGUGGCCUCAGGUCAUACAGGGAUACACUCACAUAGGUACACUUGGCGUGCUUGGUGCUGUGUUAUAUCAGGGUGGACUAACAUAAAUAGGCAUUGUAUAUUUGGUCUCAUGUUGUAUAAGGGUAUAUGCAGGUAUGCAUUGUAUGUUUCAUCUCGUAUCAUACAAGGAUUAUGCUCACACAGGUAUGUCUGCAUUGUAUGUUCGGUUCUGUGUCAUGUACGGGUGUAGUCACAUAGGUAUGAAGUGUAGGUUGAAGAUACGCCUCCCUUACCCUUCCUUUUCUUUUGCUCAGCCCUUCCCUCUCAGAAGUUCACCUUGUUUUCCUAAACCAUUCUGCUUCUACCUUUAUGUCAUACAUAGGUGGUUCUAGGUCUCUAUAUAAGAUCUAGGCCCCAAGUGAGAGAAAACAUAGGAUAUCUGUUUUUCUGAGACUUAACUUAGAUUAAUGGGAUUAUCUCCGGUUGUUUCCCUUUUCUCCAAAAUCCAUAGCUUUGUUCUUUAUGGCUGAAAAAUAUUCCAUCUCUUCCUCAGUUGUAAGACGUCCAGAGCUUUGGUGAGCAUUGAUGUGUAUGUUUGUCAUUGUGGAAGUUUCCAUUUUGAGCGGACUGUUGAAUUUGGUUCUUUGAAGCGGCAUUCGCCGCCGAUCAGUACCAUCCCCAUUUUAUGGAUAAGAAAACUGAGUCUAAAACGGUUGCAUCUAUUGCUCAGUGACACAGGGUCAUACCUUGGGUCCAGGUCUCUGAAACUUGAAAUUCCACAUUUUUCUUCCAUACCAUGAUGGCCGGGCUGCCGCGCUCCAACGCGGGGAAGUGUGGGUGCCAUUGCCAGCUCUUGAUAUUGGAAAGUCAAACGAUUCCUGUAGCUGCCAGUAGCCUGGGGGAGAAGCGGAGUUGUGAAAUCAAGAGUUGUUGGGUUUUAAGCUCGCCUCUGGCUUGUCCUGUGACCUUGAGCCAGCUACUCCCUGCUCCCGACUAUUUCCUGGUUUGGAAAAAUGAGGGUAACUAUAGUACCUUUCUCGGAAGCGGGCUUUAGAGGUUCUGGAAAUUGAUCUGUAUAAUGUGUCUGAGGCUUUGUCAAUACGGCGGCGCAGUGUUUCCUGCCUCAAAGUGCCACCGCGUCCUGGUAAGUUUAUUAAUUUUAGACAUUAGAAGAAAUCAGACAAUUUCUCCCGAAACCCGCCUGGAAAGAAUCCCACCUCAGUGCCUGCCAUGUGUUUGUCUUCCUUUCCUUCUCCUGUUCUCUGGUCUGUCUGUCUUGGCCUGUCUCUAUGUCUCUGUUUUUCAUUGUCUCUCUCUGCCUAUCUCUCUCUGUCUUUCCGUCUGUUUUCUCUCCGUGUGUAUGAAUAUGGAGGCCAGAAAUUGAAACCAGGGGUCUUCCUUGCUCUCCACCACAUAGACUGAAUCGUGUUCUCUUAUUUAAACCCAGGACUCAACUAUUUGGCUAACUUACCUAUCUGGGGAUCAUGUCCUCUGUCUCUAGUGUCUCUCCUGAACUACCUCCCCAACCCCUGUUCCCUGGGUUUUUCAAGUCCCCACGAACUGAUUCUAGUCCUGCAUCCUUAAGUGUCUGGUUUUAAUCACUUAGAGACAGGUCAUGCCUUAUAACUGGAUGGCUUAAACUCUCCCCUCCCCAGACCUCCCCACCUCCGUCCCUUCUGUCCCAUUCAGUCUUUCCUGUGGUUUUGACCGUUCUCUUCUCUCUCCUUCUAUCUUCCAAGCACACUCACAGUGCUCUGUACACCUCCGCUGUCACAAAAGGCUCCCUAGGAAGGAUUUUCUUAUCAGCCGUUUUUCGUGUUUCCCCUGAUAUUGGCUUCCUGUUUCUCGUUUCUCCUUAGGCUCAGAAGUCCUUUGGGCCAGUGUUAGCAACUCACAUUACCUUUCCUUCUGGGUUCUCUCAGCCAGCCUGCCUGUGGUCACCACCUGCUGACCAGCGAGAACCACAGCCUUCUCUUGCUCCUUGCUACCAUUCCCUAGAUGACACAAGUCCUCAUUUCAGUGGCUUCUAGCAGCUUCUCCCACUUCCUUCUUGUCAGCAAGACAAGCAUAUUGGUUUAGUCCACUCUAACUACCGUAAGAAAAUACCCAUGACUCAGAACAUUUACACAAUAGAAAUUGUUUCUAAAGAGCCUGGAAGUCCAAGGUUGGGGAUGUGGCAAUGUCAUUCUCUCUCCAGAAGAGGGUGGGAUGCCCUCUUCUGGAGGGGAAAUCUCUUUCUUUAUUCUAACCUGAUAAAAGGGACAUAGAUAUAUUAAUAAAGUAUUAUUCUGACUUUUUCUGUAUAUGAGUGUUUGCUUGUAUCUAUGUGUGUCUUCAAUAAAAGGCAUAAUGCCAUCCAAGCAGA